GCCUCCAUAGCUCAAUGGAUAGAGCACCAGACUUCUAAUCUGUAGGUUGUGGGUUCGAGUCCCGCUGGGGGCG
RNAcentral lists this transfer RNA (73 nucleotides) under Arcanobacterium pluranimalium. RNAcentral describes it as "tRNA-Arg". It matches the Rfam family "tRNA". Rfam says of the family: Transfer RNA (tRNA) molecules are approximately 80 nucleotides in length. Their secondary structure includes four short double-helical elements and three loops (D, anti-codon, and T loops). The record is from RNAcentral. RNAcentral also lists the same sequence under 1 other name. Lineage: Bacteria; Bacillati; Actinomycetota; Actinomycetes; Actinomycetales; Actinomycetaceae.